GGCGCGGUCGUGGGUACAGAUACGUCGCACUUCAGUUGGGUUUGGUUCGCGUUUCGCGACUGGCCUCUGGCGCCUCGAGGUGCCUCUUUCGUUCCGUUGAUCCGCGCACACCCGACUCCGUGGUUCGGGGACUUUCGCUCGUUCGUUCGUUUUUCCCGUGCAUCUUCAAAGUUGCAGUGCGAGUUCGUGCAAUUCCACAGACAGGCCCGACGCCUCGUUUAUUUCCAAUUGGACGUCGUGGAUGGAACAAAGUUGGUGCGCUUCAUUGCCCGGCUACAAGUAGCAUGACCCCGUUCGUGGUCAGGCACAAGUCAAAUGGAAAUUGCCCGGUUCUACACUGGCAUCGAGGUCUCGAGCACACGAUGAGGGGUCGUGGAAAGGUCAGAAAUGCCCAGUCGGACGCGAGAACGACAUCACGUCGUGACUGAGCUAUCCACCCUCCUGAAUGGAAGCAGGGCGUGUGAUAGAAGCGAGGCAACUGGACGACAGACCCGCGAAAGGGCUGGCUCGAGCCCUUAACAAGCAUUCCGGAAACGUGGCGAAAAAAUGAGGUGGCUUCUGUUCGCGUUGGUGUCACUUCUGCCGGUGGCUGGUAGCCUGCAGAGUAGUGGCGUGACGAGGGGUGGCAGUGGCAUUCAGAUCGGCACCAGCGAUCGCGGAACACACGCUAAAGGCACCGGACUGUCCGGUGGACGAGGUCACUCGGGUGUAAGACUUGGCGACGCGAGAUUCCCAAAUUCUACGAGGCAGAGACCGUUUACCACGACUACUAGCACCACACCGCCAUCCAUACCGAAAGUCACCAUCGCGCCACACUCCGCUGACAGGAACAACUCCAACACCUUGAGAGUGGGCAUGAUGGUUCCGCACAAGUCCUUCGCUGUCAGAGAAUAUACGAAGGCAGUGACUUCAGCUAUUAACAUGUUGCAGAAGAGCUCGAGAGGACCGAAAUUGAAACUUUUCGAGCAGUACGACAUCCACGUGAAGGUAGGCAUGAAGUCCCUGACGCCGAGUCCCACCGAAAUUCUGAAGUCGCUAUGCAACGAAUUUCUGCCGACGAACGUGUCCGCUAUCUUAUACCUGAUGAACUACGAGAAGUACGGCCGCAGCACUGCCAGUGCUCAAUACUUUCUGCAGCUGGCCGGUUACUUAGGAAUUCCAGUGAUCGCAUGGAAUGCGGAUAACUCGGGAUUGGAGCGAAGAGCUUCGCAGAGCAACCUACAGCUGCAGCUGGCGCCAUCGUUGGAGCACCAAACGGCCGCGAUGCUGAGCAUCCUCGAGAGGUACAAAUGGCAUCAAUUCAGUGUGGUCACAUCGCAGAUUGCCGGACACGACGAUUUCGUGCAGGCGGUCCGUGAAAGGAUCUCCGACAUGCAGGAUACUUUCAAGUUCACUAUAUUGAGCGCGAUCCUAGUCACCGAUACACGAGAUCUUCUCGAGUUGGUAAACAGCGAGUCCAGAGUGAUGUUACUCUACUCGACAAGGGAGGAAGCCAUCACAAUCUUGGGUGCGGCGCACGAUUACAAGAUCACCGGUGAAAAUUACGUGUGGGUCGUAACGCAGAGCGUGAUCGAAAACCUGCAGACGCCUAGCCAGUUUCCAAUUGGAAUGCUUGGAGUACAUUUUGAUACGAGCACGGAACGUCUGGUCAGCGAAAUCACGACCGCGGUGAAAGUUUACGCGUACGGCGCCGAGGAUUUCUUGAACAAUCAGGCGAACAGUCAUCUCAGUCUGAACACCCAGCUCAGCUGCGAGGGAAGCUACGGCGAAUCCCGCUGGAACGCUGGGGAUCUGUUUUUCAAGUAUUUGAAAAACGUGUCUGUGGAGGGUGAUCAGGGGAAGCCGAACGUCGAGUUCACCCAGGACGGCGUUCUGAAAUCAGCCGAACUGAAGAUCAUGAAUCUCCGUCCCGGAUUAAGUAAACAGCUCGUUUGGGAGGAGAUCGGCGUGUGGAAAUCCUGGAAGAAGGAAGGUUUGGACAUCAAGGACAUCGUCUGGCCAGGAAAAACCCAUACACCACCGCAAGGAGUGCCGGAGAAGUUUUAUUUGAAAAUAACCUUCUUGGAGGAGCCGCCCUACAUCAAUCUCGCGCCUCCAGAUCCUGUGACCGGAAAAUGUCUGGUGGAUCGCGGUGUUCACUGUCGAGUAGCCAAAGAUUCCGACAUGGAUGAGAUGGACGUUCAAGCGGCACAGAAGAACGAGAGCUUUUAUCAGUGCUGCAGCGGAUUCUGCAUCGACCUGCUUCAAAAGUUCUCCGAGGAAAUCGGCUUCACUUAUGAGCUUGUUAGAGUCGAAGAUGGGAAAUGGGGCACGCUAGAGAAUGGAAAAUGGAACGGUUUGAUAGCUGAUCUGGUGAAUCGGAAAACGGACAUGGUAAUGACAUCUUUGAUGAUUAAUUCUGAAAGAGAAGCCGUGGUUGAUUUCACGGUACCGUACAUGGAGACUGGUAUCGCCAUUGUUGUGGCUAAGAGGACUGGUAUAAUAUCUCCCACUGCCUUCCUUGAACCAUUCGACACCGCCUCUUGGAUGUUAGUUGGCAUCGUCGCCAUACACGCGGCCACGAUUAUGAUACUACUGUUCGAAUGGUUGUCACCAUCCGGUUUCAACAUGAAGGUAAACCCUUCAGACGCUGCGCAGAAACCGAAGAAUCCAUCGCCCAAUCAUCGGUUCUCCUUCUGUCGGACGUACUGGCUGGUCUGGGCCGUAUUAUUUCAGGCAGCCGUCCAUAUUGAUUCUCCCAGGGGAUUCACAGCCAGAUUCAUGACGAACGUGUGGGCGCUGUUCGCCGUGGUGUUCCUCGCCAUUUACACUGCCAACCUGGCCGCCUUCAUGAUCACGAGGGAGGAGUUUCACGAAUUCACCGGUGUUGACGAUCAUCGUUUGUCCAAGCCAUGGUCCCACAAGCCUAUGUUCAAGUUUGGUACCAUACCAUGGAGCCACACUGACAGCACUUUGGCAAAAUAUUUCAAGGAGAUGCACGCGUACAUGAAGAAAUUCAACAAAAGCAGCGUGGCUGAAGGAAUCGAGGCGGUUAUCAGCGGAGAAAUGGACGCGUUUAUUUACGACGGAACGGUCUUGGACUAUCUGGUAGCGCAAGAUGAGGACUGCCGAUUGCUAACUGUGGGAUCUUGGUACGCAAUGACCGGAUACGGUCUCGCGUUUUCAAGGAAUUCCAAGUAUCUGCAGAUGUUCAACAAGCGCCUGCUCGACUACAGAGACAACGGAGACUUGGAGCGUCUGAGACGGUACUGGAUGACAGGUACAUGCAAGCCAGGCAAAGAGGUACAAAAAAGUAGCGAUCCCUUGGCGCUGGAACAGUUCUUGUCCGCGUUUCUCUUAUUGAUGAUGGGAAUUCUUCUGGCUGCAGCCUUCCUACUUCUGGAACAUUUGUAUUUCAAGUAUGUCAGGCAACAUCUGGCGCGAAGUGACGGUGGUGGUUGUUGCGCACUUUUCAGCUUGAGCAUGGGAAAGUCGCUGACAUUCCGUGGAGCAGUCUACGAGGCGCAGGACAUCCUGAGGUAUCAUAGAUGCAGGGAUCCCAUAUGCGACACGCAUUUGUGGAAGGUGAAACACGAAUUAGACAUGGCGAAGAUCAAGAUACGACAGCUGGAGAAGGAUCUGGAGGCUCACGGAAUAAAACCCACCCAGGCCAAUUAAAACUCUUGACCUUAGUUCAUCGAAGAGGAUCUCAAAGAAUGUGUUUAAAUUCGUCGAAAUUUCUUGACAAUAUUUAUCUGCUUCUCUUUUAAUUCUUCUAAUAUAUUCUUUAUUUCGAAUUAUGUGUUAUAGAUGUAACGCAAACAUAAGAUUCUUCUAAUAAUUAAUAAUUAAACUACGUACAUUUUUGCAUUUAUGGGAAAUUUUAAUGCGAGAAAGUCUAUAAAAAUGUACGAAAUAUUCAACCAAUAGUGUUAGGUUGUAACAUAUGAAAUGUCUGACUUUUAACAGUUCAUACUACUAAGCUUUAAAAAAAAAAAAAUACUUUUGCUUGGAAAUGUUGAAAUAUUAAAAUCAUACAUGGAAAGGAAAAUUCUCAGCUUCAUAUCGAUGGCAUACGACGGCAUAUGAUGAUACAUGAAAUUGCAUAAACAUCUGUCGUCUAUGGUCCUACAAUUUCGUUACAUAUACAUACGCAGGAAAGAAAUAAUCAGGAAGACAAUUGAUUCCCUUCGUACAAUAGCGACGUACUUUGAGAUCCUUUCGAUGAUUGAAGGAAGAAGUUCGAAACAAAGGGCAAAAGGAAGGAAACGUUCCAUCUGUGACAAAAGAAAUUCACGUGAACGAACUUUAUCUAGACUAUUCGAUACACAUUCGCUUCCUUUGAAGCACCACUCGCUUUCGAAACGAAGUAUCUCGCGCUGCAGCUCUUUUUUUUUCUCCUCCGCCAAAUUCCAACAGACCUUUGUUCUAGAAAGCUUUCCUUUAAAGGUCGACGCCUCUUCUGCCCGUUUACGAAUACGAUUUCGUGAAAGCGGAAGUGGACCCGUAACGACAGAUCUACGCAUGUUACUGCAUAGUUAUUUCACCUGUCCUCCGUAAGAUCUACCAGGAUUCAAUCUCGAUUCACGUUAUUUACAUUUUCCGAGGGAAGUUUCUACGUACAAAAGGACGAUAGAAAACAAAUAAAAAAAAUAAGUCCAUAGAAUGGUAUGAAAAUAAUAUAAAGUGUUUAACGAUGGAAAUAUAUAAAUUCUCUUGAAAAUUCCUCGAACGAGAUUCUCUAAUGGACAAUUAACGUUCGAUUAAUCGAUAAAACGUCCUACACAAUGCGCAGACGACAGAAACUGCGGAUCGAGAUUAAAUCUUCAAUUACUUUCUGACGUCACUUGGAGCCUGGCUCGCACAGCAUGCACUCACCUACGAACGAACACGUAUAUACAUUCGUAUAUACAGUCGUGAGAUGUAUAUAUAUAUAUAUUAAUUGUAUAUAAACAUACAAUGUUCGUGUAUAUACAUCCGGACGCAUAUACACACGAGUACGUUAACGUCGUGAUAUCGCCACGAGCGAUGUUGUCAUUCAUUUCUGGUUAUUCUUUGUUUCCUGAAGCUACUGCCGAUCGUGAGUUUAAGACCUCGUCCCUUAGUAAGAUGGUUUCCCUAGAGAACGUAAGAAGAACAGCUGUAAUGCCUUUGGUGGCGAUUAUUAUUGACUUAUACUACUAGUGUUGCAGAAUGAAGAGCUUAUAGAGGUUUACGAUAUUUCGGUUCGACUGAAACAAAAUAGAUUGAAACUAUUAGAUCACCGUAAGCAUUUACUUUGACAGUUCUUGAGUAUGACACCUAGUACAUGAACUUGUAUAACUUGUAAAGUUUAGUUUGCAUGGGUAUUUGGUAGAUAUACAUAGUUGUUUGUUACGGUAUUUCAAUUUGAUGAAAUUAUACAUAUGCAUAUAAGAUAGAUACAUAGAAUAAUUGUAAGAAGAUAACUGCGUUACAGUAUUUCAAACAUUUAAAAAUAUUUUUCAAAUAUAAGAAACAAGAAAUGUUACUAUACACGAUCUAUUCUUGGAAAAUAGUUUUACGUUCUGAAUUCUACUUUAGUUUAUUUCCAACAAAUAAAUGUCCUUUUCUCAAGUAUCUCUAAAUAGGAUAAUGGACUCAGAUUUACAAUUACGAAGCAAGAUUUGUAGAAAAUGUGUAAGAAGAUUUCUACAUCUUCAGAGAAACUAACAUGUAACGUCAAUCGAUGAUCUUAAACUUACGAUCGACUGUAUGUUUUCACCGUAUCACGUAUGAGAUAUGUUCGACGGCAAAUUGGCUUCGAAUUUUCGUCGAUAUUAAGAGUUUCGCCCGUGGACACGGAGGGUAGAUAGAAGAGGGAAACAAAAUGGGGCAGGAAAACGUAGGAGAAGGAGGCGAGAACGUAUGUCGCUCGUACGAAAGCAGAACUUCUCAACGACACGAGAUCUCGGAAUAAACUUCCGUUGCUUCCAGCUAGAAAAGUUUACACUGAAAACUUCGACUCGGAUAAGCCCGCAGGUGUUUGCAGAGAAUCCAGGUACAUUGUUUGGACCAAUCGCGAACGUUGUUUAAUCGAACUUGCCGGCAACAGCCGAUCCGGAUCUCGCGAUAUUCGCACCCCGUGUAAAUGACGAACUUUCCAACUUUCGUUUCAUACCCUUCCGGAAAUACAGCAGGUACUCAAUUGUGUUUCAACGGGAUUUGCUUCUCCAGAUAUUGGGUUAGAUAAUCUGAGCGAGGAAAAGAGAAACCGCAAAUUGUUAUAGAGAAAGGAAUUUUUUUGAAUCGCAGUUGAACAUCGAAAUCGACGAUGGAAAUCUAAAUUUGAAUUUGCGCUCAAGUUUUCACAAAUCGGAUAUUUUCAGUUCGAAUAUUUGAAAUUAAGUCGGUCGUCCAUAGGGAAACUUAUGUUUGUACGAUGAUAGAUAAAUUAAAUUGUCCCUGUAGAAGCUUAAUAAUUUUUGCUGACACAGGCUUUCAAAAAAUGUACAAAUGUCUGUGAUAUGUUACGUAACCAUCCCUUAAGUUAGUUGUUCUUAAAUUUAUUCAAUAGAAUUACAAAUCGGGGGAAAGAAAUUUAAGGGUGAAGUUUCCUACGGAAGAUUCAAUUUGUAUUUGAAUGGAAUUUUAAUCGCAAUUAAGUUCGCAUUUUUCGAUUCCAAUUUAGAUUUAAAUUUCUAUUGAAAUCGUUAAAGUCGAAUCUAAUAUUAAAUUUGCAGAUGUAACUAUAACGUCAGUAUGAGAGUCGAAUAAGAAAAUUAACAUUUCAUAAACUGAACUCUGCUUCGACUUUUGCCAAGUUCUUUCGUACAAACAGAAAUACGAAAUUUCUCUCUUGUCAACAAAGAAAAUGAAACGAAAAUAACAGUCGGCGAGACUUCAAACGACGAUUUCGUAUAUUUCGUCGAAGCUUCUUUCCUCGAAUAUCUUCGGCAUUUUCCAAAUACUAUUUUCCGCGUUUUAGAAUUCUACUUCGAUAUCUCUAGCGCUUUUCACGGGACUCUCUGCGUUUCUGAAAUCGCGGAAAGAUAGGAAAUCCUAAAAAAAGCUUAACAAAGGCAUAUUACACGACGAGAAAGAGAAAAAGAAAGGAUAAAAGGAUCUCUUGUCGCUUGAGACGUGUUGCUGGUACGCAUUAAGGGGUGGUUGGUGGCGAUGGACGAUGGUAGAAGAGAAGCCUGGCACAUAUCCACGUCGGCUUUUUUAAAGGAGGAAAACCGGAAGUCUCGGCUGGUGGCGAGGAUGCUUUCAAAGCUCGGAUCGCCAUUCACAAGCGGAGUCAUUGGCGGUGGAAGCUCCGCAUCCGCUACCGCCAUACUUCGAUUCGUAAGUCCGCAACGCCCAAAACACGUAAGAAUACUCGGUGACGUAGGAACCAGGGCAAAUAUUUUUCCCCGAUGUGUCCUCGAAAUAGAGUAACUUCUCGAACGACGAUUUUCCAGCAUUUUUCAUUUCCCCAAAGAGCGCUCGGUUUCUUAACAUCCCAUCAAAUCCUUCCACUUUGCUAUUCCUUUCUCGUUUUUACAUUCGAUAGAACGUAAUGUUAUAAAAAGAUUCCGCUCGAUAUAGUCGAAUAAAAAGAAAGCACUCUUUUUAUUACAGAGUUACCUUAAUCCAAUAAAAUUAUUGGAAAAGAAUCUCAGUCAAUUUUAUUAUAUUUUUAAGAACACGCGGAAUUGGGUCCUAAAAUUCCUACUUGCAUGAUGGAUCUGUAAACCAACCCCUCGUUUCGUGUAUCCUCGCGUUCUCGAAAUUACAUCGCGAAGAAACAACAAUCGCAGUAGCUGAUCUCAGCAACAAAACGGAUCUCCCUUAACUUCCGCCAGCAACGUGAUUCGCGAGAUGUACUUACUGGGUCACGGAUAGCCGGUAUUUGGCAGCGGAACAAGAGGGAGCAGAAUCAGUUGCCAAAUAUCCGGAAAAAUUCACGCUUGUUUGUCCGUCAGCUGGUGUCGUUUCGAGGCGUUUGUCAUUUAAAAGUAAACCGAGCGCCACAUAGCAAACAGAGAAACCGUAACAUAUGGUACAAGCAUGACAUCUGGCACAUCUGUUUAACAGGAAACGAUAUUGUCUUUCGGUCGGGACCAUUUCGUCGACACGUUUGAAAUUGUAAAUCGUUUCGUACAAACAGGAACGUCUUUGUAUAAUAAAUGGAAACAAUACUGUGAGGUCGUAAAAUUAAUUAUUAAUUGAAGUUUGCAGCUUCCGAUGACUCAACGAAUCGAAGAUCUAUCGAGGGUUGUAGGAACCUGGUUAAAGGCCGUGCGAUCUCAAUUCACAAUCAAUUUUUUCUUUGUGUACAUCUCAAAUAAUUUGUACUUUCUCUAAUUUGUAGAUCUAAUUCUGAAUUGUGGUUUAUUUCUCUACGGAAUAAAAUUUUUCGUCAUGAUUUUGGUACUCAGUUCAUUUCAAAUGUUAUUCAAGAAUUUCGCACCAUAGUAGCUCAAUAAAUCGAUUCACUAGGGCAGCUACUUUUACGAUAUCACAGCCAUCAAAAUUAUUAACGAAAUUUUACAAGUCACGGGCUAGAAGUUAGCGAUGCUAAUAAAUUGUCUCGCGUAACAGUAACGACAUUCGCGAUAAAAAGAAUUAGCUCUAAAAUUCGCUGUGUCAAUUUUACGAAUCACAAGCCAUCUAACUCUCCUUCUGAAUUUUAAUUCUGACUACAGAUUGGAAAUAAAAUCUUUCGGAAGCUCCGAUUUUAUGACUCCAUUAUCGAAGUACGUUGAAACGUUUGAAAACGACACGUUGAAAUAUAUUAUACAGCCUGUUACGGCAUAAUGUGUACGUAUUUUAAAUUCAACAAAGAAAAAUACAAAGAUAAAAUUUCAGUUUUCUCGGAUAUUUUCAAAUGGUUGACAGAAGAUCCUAAACUAAGUGGCGCAGUGCGUACGAUCCCAGUUGCUACUCGAGCUGUGACCUUGCUUAACUAGAUGCUUUAACGCUAAAAAUUAUAUCGCUCACCAUAUCGCCUUCCACAUAUUACCAUUUAUCACGACAAAUGGACGUCGAUUUCAACGACAAGACCGAGAACCGCUUGAACAUUCUCACGUUACUUCGUAUUCCACCGCGACUCUAACGUUCUAUCCGGCUUUAUUUUCGAAAAGCAAAGGUUCCUACGUCGCUUUGGUAGAAAUUGUCUUCGAAGUGCACGUGAAAAUCGAUGAGUCGUUAGGUGGUGGUCGUUUGGUCGACUUGGUAGUCUUUUCGCGUAGUAAAGAAUGGCGAGAACGAGAAGGGAAUCGGGAAAUGGCCAUUCGAACGUCGAUAAAUCCGUGCACUGUUGACAGAGGGGAGCAAAAUCGAUCUCGCGAGGCUUGUUUCUGUACGAUCUCCCCGGUGUCUUUUCCGCUAACGAGCCACAUUAUCCCCGUGUCCGGAAACCAUCUUGUUUUUCUUCGAAAAUAUCGUUGUAGAGGCUAUCGUAUUUCUUGCUUUUCCUUUUCGUAGCUGAAAUGGGAUUCGAACAGCGACGCGAUGGCACAGAGAUCGAAUGUUUUGGAUUCUUGUUAGUAAGCAUCUGUCGAGUCUCUAGUUUGACUCAAACUCUAGUUUGAAUUUAAAUCGGGAUUUUUUAAUUGGCGAAUUUACGAAUGGAAAUUUAGUUUGAAUUUAAAUUUGAAUCGUACAAUUCUGAUAUAGAUUUAGAUUUAAAUUUGAAUGCUUGGCUUUGAAUUUAAAUUAAACUUGAAUUAAACUAGAAUUUCAUUUUAUAUGGACGAUUCGUUCAUUUCCUUCAACCUUACUUGUCAACGCCUUGGAUAACAAAACAAAAUUAACUAAAACAAAAUACUUCAACUCGAAUUUAAAUUUGGAUGCAUGAACUUCAAUUUAAGCUUCAAUUAAAUUGGCAUUCAACUUUGUAUGGACAAUUACAGCAUUUCUUAAAAUAUUACUUGGCAAUACUUUUAAAAAUAAAACGAUAUCGGUUCUGAUCACUGGAAUAAUGUUUUUUUCGAGUAGCACGAGUCUUACGUGGCGGAAAAAGAAAAUAAUAGGACGAAGCUUCGCGAGGAUCGAUGAUAACGAUGUAAAAGUUUGAAGGAUAAGAGUAGAAGUAGAUUAUCCGCUUCGCUUGGUAGUCCAGAACGUCUGCAUAUAUUCGAAUUAUUCUUCUCUACUUUUAUUGCCUCGUACUCUUCCUUUCUUCUUUUUUUUAUUUUUUUUUUUUUUAUCUUCCUGUACAUUUAUCUAUUCACUUUGUAAACUCGUAUUUUCGUAUCGUAUCGAUCUACUUUUCAUGUGCUCGGAAGCAUGGCAUGCGAGUUCAACGACAAGUUUUCGGUAGACUCGUGACGACUGUAUCGAGAGUGCAUAGUGGAACGAUAAAUCGUGCGCGAUGGCGUUAAAUGAACGGCACAAGGAGCCAUCGAUUACGAUUGAGGAAAUUCCUGUAAAUUAGGAAAACACAGGGAGAAGAAUGUAGUACGGCGAUCGAGUCAUUUGUCCGGAAUGAGUCGUCUAACAAUGGAAUCUGAAUGGAAUGGAAUCUGAAAUCUGAUAUUUCACUCGUUCCCUGAUAACGCGAAAUUCUCGGGGCUGAAAAAUUCUGAUAUUGAAACAUUCCUGUCGUUAUACGAUGAAUUCUAUGCUAAAAGACUUCUCUAUUUGUUUAACUGGUAAUAUGCAAUCUUUUUUGUACAACUAUUAAAUAAAAAAUGCUAUAUAAAACUUUCUGCAAAGAAAUCAACGUGAAACGUAUAUAGAAAAGUAUACAACAAGUAUUAUAAGUAUUAUAAUACAAGUAUUAUAAGUGUUUAAAGAAAGUUACGAUUUGUUAAAUAUUUUAGAAAGGAAAGUCCCUUAAACUAAAUUGCCAAAAUGACAAAUUCGAUAUGCUGACGACAUUGAUAAUUCCAACGCUAAUUACGCAAACUAUUCUAUACGACUAACGUAUAUCUGUGAUUUUCGAUAAUUUUCAGAAAUUGUUUCGAUAGUAAUUAUAUUACAUCGACUUUACGAGUUAAUUUACGUAAACCUACGGUGGCACAAAUCCACUCAAAUUGAACUUAACAAACGUAAAUUCGAUCGAACCAAUUUCGAAGUAAAAUUAAUUAAGCAUAGAAGUUCCUUGCCGCGAAUGUAUCCUUUUUUGAAAGUAUUCGAGUAGGAAACGAGUGUCCUUUAUUCCGUUUGAAAUUAGCGUAACUUGCAUCCGUGACAGGAGUGUCUCUGGUCAAUCUCAAAGCUCAUUUCAGCGAAUUGCUGCGGCAAACUCUCCUUGCCUCGAUUAAUGCAGGUUGCUGCACUAAAAAAGAACCCAGGUGAUUUUCCCUUUGAGAGCGUCCAAAUUUCACGCCACAAAUUCCCCACGAAUUUGUGGCACUACGCUGUCCGGAAAGUCAAUGAAACUCAACGCUUCUCUUCAUAUUGACCCGCUUCACGAACUGUUAUAGUUUCUCUAGCACAAACAAUAUUACAUCACUCUCGUGCAUUAUAGAGCGCAUUAUAGCGAGUCUCCUAUUAUAAACCACGCCGUUUUCUCUGUACGAUGUCCUAGUCCACAUACACGUUGUUCCUAGGCGUUAAAUUAUGACUUGCAAGUACUGAAAUUUUCCUCCAGAGAAUUAAACUUUCCUCGUCUAAGGAACGACGAAAUGUAGUUGAACGUAUCCUUCUAACAUCUGCGUAACUGCGUUUGCAACGACGCUAUAACUGGCCUUGUAUUCCUUAAACGGAAAUUUUCAGAAGAUAUUUGAAAAAUACCAUCUUCGAAUGCAGGAAUUAAAAAGGUUGCUUCUUUUGAUUUAAAACAAGAAUCUUCACUGGAUCUUCUUCCGUUUCGUUUCUUUCAGCAUGAAAAUUCUAGACUGUUUCGGUGAUAGAAUCGUUAAAAAAUUUGAGAAAUCGACGGAUAUCGGUUUAAAGUUAAACGUGCUAUAGCAGAACGCGAUUCUAUAUUUUACCACAUUCUUAUCUCGACACGAACCGAUGCAUAAUUUUUUACCUAAUUUUGAGGAAUCGUGGAUUUAAGUCAAAGCCUAAAUAAUUUUCUGCUCUAUACUUGCUUUGGAAACUGGAAGCACGAAACGUGGAAGGAGAAUUAUCGAAGAAGGAAAGAGAAAGCAGUCGAAUUAAAAGCCGGUGCAACUAGCAUUUCGUCAAGAAACAUACGCUACGUUAUUUAAAAAUAUUAGAGACCAGGAGAAUACUUCAGAUUCUAAUAUUAGACGAUUCACUCUGUAUACGUCUCUUUGCCUAUCUGUUUUCAGGCAAUAAAAUUGUCUUCUCUCCAAAUUAUCAUACAGGGAUUCUCUUGAAUCUAGAUUCAUCGACGCCAUCGAUGUUGCCAGGCCUAGGGACAUGACCAGGAACCACGUGGUCAGCACGGAGUAUAGCGACAAAUUUUUGCCUCCACAGAUCUACAGGAUUCCGGACGAC
RNA transcript from Bombus pyrosoma, 12342 nucleotides. It is a transcript of the gene named glutamate receptor ionotropic, NMDA 2B, with no coding region annotated. The transcript has 19 exons. NCBI's taxonomy places the organism in Eukaryota, Metazoa, Arthropoda, Insecta, Hymenoptera, Apidae. The record is from RefSeq and is a predicted model, not a curated record.